RNAcentral lists this ribosomal RNA (253 nucleotides) under uncultured bacterium. RNAcentral describes it as "partial 16S ribosomal RNA". It matches the Rfam family "Bacterial small subunit ribosomal RNA", at positions 524 to 776 of the family's 1533-position model. The record is from RNAcentral.
UACGAAGGGGGCUAGCGUUGCUCGGAAUUACUGGGCGUAAAGGGAGCGUAGGCGGACAUUUAAGUCAGGGGUGAAAUCCCGAGGCUCAACUUCGGAACUGCCUUUGAUACUGGAUGUCUUGAGUGUGAGAGAGGUGAGUGGAACUCCGAGUGUAGAGGUGAAAUUCGUAGAUAUUCGGAAGAACACCAGUGGCGAAGGCGACUCACUGGCUCAUUACUGACGCUGAGGCUCGAAAGCGUGGGGAGCAAACAGG